Labrus mixtus (cuckoo wrasse) is the source of this 322-nucleotide long non-coding RNA. RefSeq lists it as uncharacterized. Lineage: Eukaryota; Metazoa; Chordata; Actinopteri; Labriformes; Labridae. The record is from RefSeq and is a predicted model, not a curated record. The transcript has 3 exons.
UUAAAAUAUUUCAGUGUUAACAUAAAAGGACCAAACGGAAAAAUACAACAAGGAAUCAUUUGAGUCAGAACAAAGCAAAUAAGCUACAGGUGUGAAAACAUCCUAACAGUCUGUCAGAGACGCUUCUCUGCUUCUUGUUUGUCUCUGAUUGUUUUUUUGUUCUUUGUUUGAAGUCAACCUCUUCAGGGAUACGAGACCUCGGCUCCACGAAGAGUCGGUCCAGCACCCGUAGAAAAGACACCUUGUCUGAUGGACUCUCCUCUAGCUCUGCCCUCAAGACCUCACGCUCCACCAGCUCAGUUUUCGGCGAUCUUCACGGACA